UACGUAGGGGGCGAGCGUUGUCCGGAAUCACUGGGCGUAAAGGGCGCGUAGGCGGUAAUAUAAGUCAGAUGUGAAAGGUGGGGGCUCAACCCCUAGAGUGCAACUGAUACUGUAUAACUUGAGUGUGAGAGAGGGAAGCGGAAUUCCUAGUGUAGCGGUGAAAUGCGUAGAUAUUAGGAGGAACACCAGUGGCGAAGGCGGCUUUCUGGCUCAUAACUGACGCUGAGGCGCGAAAGCGUGGGGAGCAAACAGG
Molecule: ribosomal RNA, 253 nt
Filed under: uncultured bacterium
Lineage: Bacteria
Description: partial 16S ribosomal RNA
Rfam family: Bacterial small subunit ribosomal RNA
Source: RNAcentral